UGUUGGAGCUGAUAAAUGUUCAGUAAAUCAGGCUGCAGUCAUUGCAAAGUGGAAAAGAGAGGAGAGGAAUGGUCAUAUUUUUAAGGAGGUGAGCAUCAGGCUUUGUAAAGACUUCUGUAUUUGUGCAGACUUAUCAUCAACCAGUGAUAGGGAUAAUAAUAUAAGUAUACAUAAAAAGGAAAUAAACAUGAUCAAAACGAAUAAUGAUGUGUUUAAGACAUGAUUAAAUUUGAUUUAAAUGAUAUUUUACAGGAUUUGAAGGAUGAUAUUGAUUUUUAAGAGAUGUAUCCAGAUGAUUCCAUGGUUUCGCUCCUCUAAAAGUAAUGUUAGACUGAUGACUAGAAGUUCCACAGAAAGGUUACUGAAGAUGGCCAUUUUGUCUUGUUGAGUACGGGUGAACGUUGGAUUUUAUCAUCAUUAUUCAAAUCGUCUUUUUAUAUUUGCUAUCCUGUUUCCUGCUUUCUACCCAUCUUUUUAUUACAUUUCUUUUUCUUACCUAUUUAACGUUUUUAUUUUGGUCCUCAUGGUCUCAUUUUAUGUUGCAGGGUUCUUGCAUUGUCUGGGUUUCUUGUGACAAAUGAAAUUGGCCUUCAAUUGGGAGGUUUUGUUUUUAACUGAGCUUUUGUUUUUAAUUUGAUUUAGAGAUUUGGUAGGAAAGAUUUAUUUACAGGAAAUCUUUCCCACCACAAGCAAUUGCAUUGUUCAAUAACACAUCUGUCAGACAGGGACUCAUUCCUGUCUGCUGUAUAGUACAUUUUUAAAAAACUUCCACAUCACAUUACUGAGCACCUUAAAUUGUCUGUUUAUUUAUCAUCCCAUCUGUAUAUUUUACAUUUCAUAUUUAUUACUCAUUUCAAGAGCCCACGUUUUUUAUAUCUCACUUUUUUUUCUCUUAAGAUGUUUAGUAUAUUUAGUCUGUAUUUAUUGUAUAUAUUUAGUAUUUUUAGUCUGCAUUGUUCAUACUUCCUCCUAUAUUUAAUUUUAUUUAAUUUUAUUUAAUUUUAUUUUUGCUACUGUAAUAUGAGAAUUUCCCAGUUUGGGAUCAAUAAAAUUAAUCAAUCUAUCUAUCUAUCUAUCUAUCUAUCUAUCUAUCUAUCUAUCUAUCUAUCUAUCUAUCUAUCUAUUUACAACUGUUUGUUAAAGCACUUUGUAAACUUCUGUUUUUAAAAGUGCUAUAAAAAUAAAAUUAUCAUUAUUACUACGAGUCGUAAUCUUGACUCUAAUUUGUAUUAAUUUACCAGAGCAGUAUGAAGUAAAUUGUGUGGGGCUUCUGUAAAUCUCAUAUCUUUGUGUGAACUCCUGGUUGUCGCCCGUGUUUCCGACAGUCCGUGAAGGCCUCACGGUUCGGUGGCUGCUGAGCUGAUCUUUGUGCGAACGGAGCAGGGGGACAGCAAACACUCACCAAGCAACGAAAGACGGCGGAGGAAACGGCUUCGGGUCCCAGAAAUCACUCUUACAUCGACUACACAGCGACAGAGACGGCCUUAAGAUGGUAAGACGACAUUUAAGAGACGUAAAUGUCAGCUGGAGGCGCUAUUUUCUCCUGACAAUCAAUCUAGUCCGAAGCUAGCGCGCUAAUGCUAACUGCUAGCCGAGUGUUUUCCUGACUCAUUAUUGAGCAGCCCGAGAAGCUAGGCUGCCAUUUUACACCAACAACACAGGCAGCUGCUCUGCCCUGGACACUGCGGUUACCCCGAUCAGGACCAAAUUUAGUCCCCUUUCACCCCAAACCUUACACAGGUAGUUAAAUGAAAACAAAUCACAUCCAAAGUGAUGAUUCAAUCCAAGCGAACGUUCCUUAAAAGCUAACAGGCUAACCGAGCCUGAGGAGCUAAUGACUGCUAGCAGUGUUGCGUAGCUGAGUCUGACACCUUUGCCAGCUUUAGGUUGGAAUAAUCUGAGGAAGUAGCCCGGAGAGUGGUUAUUGCGGAUGUUUAGUGUGUUUAGUUGGAUGAAUUAAAGGUGUUUAUUGAGUCAAAGCUGCUGUAGCUCGUGAUUUAAGUGGACGGAUCGGCCGUGUGCCGCCGGAGUGAAGGAGAGUGAUUUGACUCAGGAGGACUCCCACACUCCUGGAAUACCUGCGAAACACCUGGACACAGAAAUUAGGAGUAAUUUAACAGAUUAUCAGAGGAAUACAAAUAUCUGGACUCUCAUAUGUUACCACCUGUUUAUGUUUUAUAUUCUCUCCUGUUUAGACUCUUGUCUGUGUUGUACCUACUCUCAGGUAGGGGUGGUUAGUGUGGCAAAAAUAUCAUACCUUCAUUUCUUUAAUCCUGACAACCUAAUUUUCCAUCUAUUCUUGAUUUAAGACUAUUGUUUGGCGACUAUCCAAAACAACUUAGUUGCCGAGAGGCCGAGUUGGGGAAACCGGUGCCUUACCCGACACGCUGGCUGUAUAAACUUGAAAAAACAGGCUGUAACUCCGUUUUGUAGUUUUAUUAAUGGGGCAGUCGUUCAAAAUCAGGCGAAAAAAGUGACACAUAAGCGGUUGGCAAAAAGUAGGGCUUCCCCAUUCACCCCCUCUCCAUUCAUCCACAAAACUCACCAGGUGAACAGCUGACGUACUACUACCGGUGCUGACGUACUACCUCCACCCACACCACGUGACGCUCAUCCCCGUAUAUAACCACACAAUACACAAAUAUUAUAAAAGAUCAUGGCUACCACAAAGAACUGGCGUCCACAACUAUCAUGUAAGUUAAUAGUCAUUACAAUCUAUUUAGAUAGACAGAUUGUUUUGAAACUUGAACUGCUCACUUUGGCAUGGGUUUUACUUUUGAAUAGAAAUCUAAAGCAAUAUCAUAUAAUCAUAAUGGAAUCUAAAAUUAUCCAAGAAAGAAGAGUAGAGGGUAGUGUAACCAGAACUCAGACUUCUACAGAACCAGACAGUUCCCAUGCAGGCUGAGUCUGCUGCAGUAUUUCAUUAAAAUUAAAAUGGAUUAAAACUUAAAUUUGGUUCAGAUUUGUAACAGCAACUAUUAAACAUUUUAGACUGUGAUUAGUACGUCACAUUUUGGCCUCUUAAUCGUGUUUGCAGUGCAGUACCAGAAAAAAAAUCUGAAGCUGUUUCAUUGUAGGCGCCAUGAGUUUGAUUUUUUUGCUAUUGUAUUGAAACAGGCAUUGAAAUCGCUCUGUCUUUAUAGUUUUUAAGUCUAAAAUUCUGUUAUUCUUGCAACCCCCAUACUUUGACAGAAUAAAACUCAUGGACGGUUAUAUUUUGAUUUCUUUUUAAAGUUAUCACUCCUGUUGCUUUCUAAAGUUGGUUGGCUGUAGGAGCCUUAGGACUGGGCGAUUAUAUGAUCGAGAUUAAUUAACGUGAUAAAUUUAAGUGCGAACACAGUGAUCAGCUGUGAGCUUAUUUACUAGAUCAAACUUGGCGAAAAUGUGCAUCACAACAGCCAAUCAGAGUCGAGCUUUUCCUGCUCACUUCUGUAAGUUGCAGGAAAAGUAAACAGAGUAACCGAACGUGGAGCUGAGGGCAGUAAGAUAGAUGUCAGCCAUGACUUUGAGUCAUCCUCCGAAGAUGCUAUUGUUAUUUAACGUCUUAUUUAGUAUUUAUCUAUUUAUUUUUUAGUUUUAAUACAGAUGCUUUAAAACUGACAUUUAAAAAAAAUAAUCGGGAUAAUAAUCGAGAUCGGACGAUAUGACAAAGUAUAUCGUGAUCAUCUUUUUAGCCAAAUCGCCCAGUCCUAAGGAGCCGUGUUAUUUGUUAGAUGUUAAAUAUUUGGAUAGUUGUUGAAAAUAAAAAUGUUAUCCACAAUUAAUCCGUAAUUGUAACAAUAAUCAUAGAUUAUAUUUGGGUAUAUACCGACUUAUCCAGUGUUUGUGUGCCAGUAGCGAAUGGACAAACUUCGGUGCAAACAAAGUAAAACUUUGGUAUUCCUGUUGUAGUUAAGAGAAUUAAUAGAAGCGUGAUUUGUGAUUGUGACCAUUCUUGUGGUUAAAGUGACAAAAUCAUAGAGGCUGUUGUGUCUGAAUAUUAACAUAUUUGAUCAUCUGUUGUAAAAAAAAACAGAUAUCUGUUUGUAAUUGUUGCAGGAAUUAGUUAAUAAGUUGAUUUUUGGUGCAGAUUUGAACUUGACACCAGUCAUAAAUUACGACUCUGGAUCUCCUUUCUUGCUCAUCAUAAAUCCCGCUGUGAAUAUUCCGAUAACAUGAGUUAGUCUUUGAAGUAUCCUCUUGGACCAUGUCGUCUGCGUUGUUUCAUCGCCACGCUCUCCAGCGUUUUUCUCUCAGCACUUUCAUUGAACGAUGAGGGUGAAGGCUGCAUGUGCCGACACGUCUUUCCCCUCCGAAUCAACCUGCUGAGAGUGGGAGGAUCUGCAUGUGUUUGCACAGACAGCGGGGUGGGCGUAUGUUGGUAUUCAGAGUAUCUAACGUAGGUUGAUAAUUUUGCAUGCAGGAUAAAGCAGCCGCAGACUGAUCCGUUCUCACAUUGGUGGUUAUUCAGAGGCUGUGCCCGGCGACAAACACCGACAAAGGAAACGCUCACAUCCUCACUUCCAUCUCUCGGCUCUUGUGGGAUGUAAUUGGCUCCUGGUUGUCACUUCCUGCCAGUGUCAGAAAUGUUUUGAUGGUGCUGCUGUUUCAUUCAUAGAUUCCUUGGCCUGCAGCGUUCAUUGACACAUUCGCCGUCAUGGGAAAUAUCUAUUUAAGGUGCUUUCCUCGGUGAUGCUUUUGCUGCAUGGAGCACAUGUUGCAUCUGAUCUACAGCUCACUCACACACGCCGAGUUUAGCAGGCUGAUCCGCUGUGCUCCACAUCAAGUUGGCAUCCGUGACUGCCAAUCAGUCUACAUCAGUGUUUGGCAGCAGGAGAUGACUCGUACUCCCUCUGUGGCAGCAACAAGAGUUUAAUCAGCAGAAUUUCAACAUUACAGAUGUCUUCUUAGUCAGAAAAAGUGGCCGCACUGAGCUGCCAGUUUUGAUCAAAAGGGUUAAGAGGCAGAUUGACUUUUUUCCCCUCAUUAUGAUAUCGUCCACAGCUUUGCCUUUUGUCUACGUUUGAAGGGAAACAUUUCAAAGAUUACACGCUGUAGCUUUAAGGUCCCCUGCAGCUGCACACUCAGUGACACCAUGGUCACUGUCAAAGUCACAGAUAAAACAGAGAAAAACAAAACACACAAGCGGGUUGAAUAGAACUGGAAAAUGACCUACCAAGAGAGAUUCCUGUUUACAUGCAGCCGUGAGCAUAUACUAAGAUUAAUCCUGUUCUGUUGUUGAUCGGUUUGUUGUGUCAAAAACUCUCUUUAAAUAGGUGAAACUUCUGAAUGUGCUGUAAAGUACCACUGAAAUAAGACAAGUAUCUGCAUAGAUCGUAUUUCUCGGUUAGUUUUUGUACCUUAUUUUAAAGUAUAUGGUGGUGCAUAAGGUAGGAACUGGGAAGAGGAAGUAGGGGAUGACGUGGGUUAGUGUUGGACUUGAUGAACAAAAUCUUAUGUCACAGUAUGAGUGAUUUCAAAUCACGGUAGGGCUGAAACAAUUCCUCGAAUACCUCGAUUACAAAUAAUGAUGAUGUUUCCACCUCUAACAACAACAGCCACACGACACUCUUUGCAUAGUAUUGUUUUUCGAUCAUUGCUGGAUUUUAUAAAUACCAAGAAUCUCCAGACAACCAGUGUCGCGACUUGCGCCCUUUUUCGGAACGAGUUCUUCCUCCUCUUCCUCAUGUUGGGUGGGUCGGGCUGCCUCCGUUUGCUCGGUACUGCCACUAAUCUUCACGUCUGCAAUGACCACCACCAGUGAGGCUGUUUCUCCAAACAGUCUGCUGGACACGCCGGCACCCAAACCUGACCAAUCAAACGGAGCGAACGGAAACGCACCCAGUCGGAUGCACUCCGGCUUUCCUGUUAGCGAGCACAGAAAACUACACACUGACACAGAGAAUGCAGCAAACAUCUGCUCUCUCUCUCUCCGGUAUAAACAGUAUAGCACAAUUUCUACCAGUAGACACUACCGCCCAACACUAACAUGAGGCUAAAGGGCAGUGGGUUAGAAUUGAACCCAGGCCACCUGCUCCAAGGACUUUAGCCUCUGUAAAUGGACUGUGUGAUUUAACUGCUGACCCACAACAGCAGCAGCCAUAACAUCAACAGCAUGGUUAAGUCCUUGUCUGUUUUAGAGGGCUAUUAUGAAGCUUUAAGAAAACGUGUUUUGGUGAAUUUUUGUCAAAAUGUGACUCUGUACUCUUGGAGAAAGCAAAGUGUAAGGUCAUGUCAGCCUCUGCAGGUCUAUCCUAGCCCCCUUUUACCUGGGCUGACCCGUUCAGGUCUGUGUGUUCAUCAUGUGUGAGGUGCUGUGAAGCGGCGGGGCUGAGAGCAGUCACUGUAAAGUCAAUCUAAAGGGACUGAGAGAGACUCUGCUCGGCUGCUCUUCUGAAUGCUAAACGGAGCGAGAGAAAUCAAAAGCUGCUUACGUUAAUGAAACGUCCUCCCCCGCUGAUGGACCCGGCACAUGACGGGUUAGCAUAUAUGCAAACACGUGUGUCACUGUGGGAGAAGAAGUGCUCGUCACGGUGAUUCAGAGUCAGCAGAAGCUUCAGAGCUCCCCAUGAUUCAGCCUCAGUCUGAUGUUUUUGUUUUGGUCUCUGAAAAUGAAAGAAGGAGAUGAACCACUGAAAUCAAAGUAAUGGAAGUGUUUUUGUGGUGUGACUCUGCAUUCUCCCUGCAAACAAGAAUGAUGGCAGGUUCCUCUCUCUCUCUCUCUGUGUUUUUGGCUGUGGUUUGCUUUUGUUUGUGUUUUUAAAUGUAGGGUAUUAGGUUGUUGAGACUGGACAGGACACACGGUGACCAGGGUAAUCUGAUUUACCCGGCUGAGCCUUUUUUCCCACGAGCACCGCUCUUCCUCUCUUUCUUCCUCUCUGUCUCUCUCUCUCUCUCUCCUUUACUCCCGGUAUCCCUCCCAUCCAGCUAAUCUCUCACAGACUCUCGGCACUCUGGUUCCUGAGUUGUGCUGUGUUACAUGCAGCCAUGAAGACUUAACGCAGUGUCAGAGAGUAGAAUUGACCGACUAAAUGCAGGAGAGGUUUGGCUGUUUGGUUUAUCUGCCCUCCUCUUUGGCAGACAACGUUGUCACCUGGAUGUAAAUAUGAAAACCUACCGGGAUUUCUCAGGCAUGUUGCAGCAGUCAGCAUGGUAAGAUCUUAGUUUGUGGGCUGUUUUUAAAAUUUACUGUACACUGUCACAUACAGUUAGUUGAAGCUUGAUUUAAAUAUGUUUAUUCUAGGCCUGGGUUGAUUACCAAAAAAAAAUUCACGAUAUAUUUUGUCAUAUUGUCCGAUCUCGAUUAUUGUUAUUUUUUUUAAACUGCCAGUUUUAAAGCAUCUGUACAAAAAACAAUACAACAAAUGUAGAUAAAUACUAAAUAAUACAGUGAAUUAGUUUACAGUCCUGGGUAUUUUUGCAGGUAUGCAAGACCCAAAAUAAACAAAUUGCGCCCUAAAGACGCCUUAAAAUCUAGACAAUAGAUGAUGUAAACUUGGAUGAUAAGAUUAAUCGCUGCUUUGGUCUGGUGGCUGCACCUGCACCACAAUCACUGCACACAACUACCAAUAACAUGUUACAGAUGCACAAACCUUUUGCACCAAAAAUACCUUCAUAAUAUCGAUUUUGCUGCCCUCAGCUCCACGUUAGGUCAUUCUGUUUACGUCCCCUGUUUGAGCUGGAAAAGCUUGACUCUGAUUGGCUGUUGUGGCACACAUUUCUGCUGUUUGAUCGAGUAAAUAUGCUCACAGCUGAUCACAGUGAUCGACUGAAAUUUAUCAUGAUCAUAUAAUCGCCCAGUCCGUUUACUCUCAUUGUAGGACUGUGAGCAGGUUGGUUCCCCGUCUCUGUCCUCAGUCAGUCUCUUCUGCUUCUUUAUAAACUCUAUUUGAUCAACGAUUCAGGUUGUUUUUGGUGUCACCGGUAUGCAUGAAGAACUGUCAGAAUUUAAUUUUCCUCAGUGUUGUGGUUUAAAAAUGUUUAUCUAUUUCAGAAAAGCCAACAAGUUAAGAAAGUCCAUGAUCUUAAAAGACAAAAUAAGAAAACUAACCAGCAAACUUUGUUAUAUUCAAGAGUUAAAGUUGAUGGAAACAAAAGAAAGUGAAUGAUUCGUUGCUUGUUUUGGCGCUCUCUCUUGAUUAAACUUGGUGUUACAGGGUGAAAUCAGUGAAAACUCUUCCUCUGCUUUUCCUGCAUCACCAAACACGCGGCCGCUGCACUGUCAACAACACUUGUUGACUGUCAGGAUGUUGUGGCCCGGGAAUAUAUCAGCUUGUUGUUCCUGGAAAAAGAGUCAUGACCUUUGACCUUUACCGCCUUCCCGCCUAGUGUGAAGGCGGGACAUGCCAUGGUGCUGCUUUCAACAGCCUGGCACAGGAUCCCUGUUUCACAACAAACUCUCGAGACGCCGUUGCCGCUCAACCAGCAGUCCACAUCCUGUUCGUCCUGGUCACACGGGGAUGGAUCUGAUUGUAGGUCAGAUACUGUAGAGCGACUCUCAUCUGAUACCUGCUGGUGUGAGAAUCUGAAACCUGAUCCCAGACCUGCCGUGAAGGGCACCUUUCUUUACCGGCAGUGAAAAGAAGCACAAGAGAGAAUGAACACUUUACCCUCUGUAGUCAGAUGGCUACUCUGAGGUAUGGUCUGCCUCAGUUGCUAUGGCAACUGCAGGAGCACCUUAGGUAUGGCUUCCUGUCUGAGUUAAGUGAGGAUCCACCUAAGAAGAGCAGGGGACUGGAAUAGGUCUAGAAUCUGAGCUGAGUGGGCUGAAUACUGAAUGACCGAACCCUGCAGAGGACUGUCGGCACACCAACCAGCGUCCCCGUCAUGUGGGAGACAAACUCAGGGGAGUGUCAGGGAUAGGGCUGGGCGAUGUGGACAAAGGUUUAUCAUGAUAUAUUUUUUCAUAUCAUUGGAUAUCGACAUAUAUCACGAUAUAAAAAAAUCACGUCAAUCUUAAAUGUUCCCUGUUAAGGUCCUUACACGCGGGGAACGACGUGAAUAUAGAACGCGAAAUUAGACGUUUAGCAAACUGUUAAAGCACACAAAUUGUCGUCAUAUGAGAGAGCCGACGCUCUACUGUCCUUCAGGUCGUUAUCUUUGUAAUAUUUGUGUCUUUUACGCGUAAACAAUCAGCCGUUUGGCCAUGUUGGAUAUACCGGUGAGGCAGACGUUGCAACAACACGAAAUCUGAU
This is a non-coding RNA of Xyrichtys novacula (pearly razorfish), 9173 nucleotides long. The record is from the annotation of a GenBank genome assembly. Lineage: Eukaryota; Metazoa; Chordata; Actinopteri; Labriformes; Labridae.